Molecule: ribosomal RNA, 387 nt
Filed under: uncultured bacterium
Lineage: Bacteria
Description: bacterial SSU rRNA
Rfam family: Bacterial small subunit ribosomal RNA
Source: RNAcentral
AUUGAACGCUGGCGGCAUGCCUUACACAUGCAAGUCGAACGGCAGCACGGGGGCAACCCUGGUGGCGAGUGGCGAACGGGUGAGUAAUACAUCGGAACGUACCCAGUAGUGGGGGAUAGCCCGGCGAAAGCCGGAUUAAUACCGCAUACGACCUACGGGUGAAAGCGGGGGAUCGCAAGACCUCGUGCUACCGGAGCGGCCGAUGUCAGAUUAGGUUGUUGGUGGGGUAAAAGCCUACCAAGCCGACGAUCUGUAGCUGGUCUGAGAGGACGACCAGCCACACUGGGACUGAGACACGGCCCAGACUCCUACGGGAGGCAGCAGUGGGGAAUUUUGGACAAUGGGCGCAAGCCUGAUCCAGCCAUGCCGCGUGCGGGAAGAAGGCCU